Molecule: non-coding RNA, 72 nt
Organism: Phialocephala subalpina
Lineage: Eukaryota; Fungi; Ascomycota; Leotiomycetes; Helotiales; Mollisiaceae
Source: the annotation of a GenBank genome assembly
GGCUUGAUAGUUCAGUGGCAGAAUUCAUGCUUUGGGUGUAUGAGGUCCUGGGUUCAAUCCCCAGUCAAGCCC